UCCUACGGGGGGCAGCAGUGAGGAAUAUUGGUCAAUGGGCGCGAGCCUGAACCAGCCAAGUAGCGUGAAGGAUGACGGCCCUAUGGGUUGUAAACUUCUUUUAUAUGGGAAUAAAGUUUGGUAUGCAUACCAUUUUGUAUGUACCAUAUGAAUAAGGAUCGGCUAACUCCGUGCCAGCAGCCGCGGUAAUACGGAGGAUCCGAGCGUUAUCCGGAUUUAUUGGGUUUAAAGGGAGCGUAGGUGGAUUGUUAAGUCAGUUGUGAAAGUUUGCGGCUCAACCGUAAAAUUGCAGUUGAAACUGGCAG
Molecule: ribosomal RNA, 305 nt
Filed under: uncultured bacterium
Lineage: Bacteria
Description: bacterial SSU rRNA
Rfam family: Bacterial small subunit ribosomal RNA
Source: RNAcentral